RNAcentral lists this ribosomal RNA (304 nucleotides) under uncultured bacterium. RNAcentral describes it as "partial 16S ribosomal RNA". It matches the Rfam family "Bacterial small subunit ribosomal RNA", at positions 506 to 807 of the family's 1533-position model. The record is from RNAcentral.
CAGCAGCAGCCGCGGUAAUACGGAGGGUGCAAGCGUUAUCCGGAUUUAUUGGGUUUAAAGGGUCCGUAGGCGGACUUAUAAGUCAGUGGUGAAAGCCUGUCGCUUAACGAUAGAACUGCCAUUGAUACUGUAAGUCUUGAGUAUAUUUGAGGUAGCUGGAAUAAGUAGUGUAGCGGUGAAAUGCAUAGAUAUUACUUAGAACACCAAUUGCUAAGGCAGGUUACCAAGAUAUAACUGACGCUGAGGGACGAAAGCGUGGGUAGCGAACAGGAUUAGAUACCCCUGUAGUCCCUGUCUCUUAUAC